Molecule: long non-coding RNA, 739 nt
Filed under: Jatropha curcas
Lineage: Eukaryota; Viridiplantae; Streptophyta; Magnoliopsida; Malpighiales; Euphorbiaceae
Description: long non-coding RNA (JCUR_LNC000105)
Source: RNAcentral
CCAACAACAAUAAUUUAUAAAUUUGCAAUUUACAUUAAAUUUAAUAAAUUGAACCUUAAAUUAUACCCAUUACAAUUCGAAUUUUUGAUUCAAAUUCAGUGUGCAAGUCUCAAAUUUCUACCUCCCGGGGUCUCGUUGGCCGGUAGCCGAACUGCCAGCUUCUACGGUGGCCGAAAAAUCUUGGCCGCUAGGAAUCGGGCACUCUUCACACCAUCUGGCUCGAUUUUCACUCAGGAGUCCAUUUUUGGCGUUGGUUGGGUGAGAUCAUCCUUUAGCUGCCCGCUGGCAUCACAAUCGAUUUAGAGGAAAGAGUCACCGCUCGGCUGAGUUGCAAUGCUCGCUGGAGUCUCGAGCAAGGAGAGGCGUGACUUGAGUCGAUGGCGACCGGAGGAUGAAAUCACUAAGGCUAGAGGUGUCGUUGCGUCGUCGCCAAAGAGAGAUCGCAGCUCACCUACCUGCUGCGCUCACCGAAGAUGAGAACUGAGAGAGAGAAGUUGGCACGACGAUGAGAAGAAGAUGCUUCCAUUGGUUCAGGUGACCGGAAAUAAGAGAGGAAGAGUGAGAGAGAGGUUGAGCGCCACUAGAUCGGGAAGAAGAAUGAAAAAGAAAUGAAAAGAAAGAAAGAAGAAACUCCUAGGGCUUUCUAGAUCAUUCAGUUUCGAUUUGAAUCGAUUUGGUCCAACUCAACGGUUUAGUCUUUUUUUUAUCUGUUUUAUAGAUUUGUUUUUUUUAUUCAGUG